Molecule: ribosomal RNA, 253 nt
Filed under: uncultured bacterium
Lineage: Bacteria
Description: partial 16S ribosomal RNA
Rfam family: Bacterial small subunit ribosomal RNA
Source: RNAcentral
UACAGAGGGUGCGAGCGUUAAUCGGAAUUACUGGGCGUAAAGCGCACGUAGGUGGCGACGUAAGUCGGGUGUGAAAGCCCCGGGCUCAACCUGGGAAUUGCAUUCGAGACUGCAUUGCUGGAGUACGGAAGAGGAAGGCGGAAUUCCCGGUGUAGCGGUGAAAUGCGUAGAUAUCGAGAGGAACACCUGCGGCGAAGGCGGGUUGCUGGGCUGACACUGACGCUGAGGCGCGAAAGCUAGGGGAGCGAACGGG